UUAUAAUAAAUUUUAUUACAUAAGACCACCAAGCUGAGCCAUGGCCAUCCGCUUAUGGUGAGACCAUCCACACGAUAGAAGCACAGCCAAUAUUCUACUCCGCAUUGACUCCAUUCUUUAAUAGAGUUGGGUGCUACAAUAUUCCCCAGAACCUUCUUUUCAAGUUGUAGAAUAACAACGAUUAAUAUAUACAUAUAUGUAUAUUUAUAUAUCUAUGAAUGUUGAUUAUAAUUAUGGGUAUAUAUAUGCCUACCUGCUGCAAUGACAGUCCUAUAAAUGACUUCAAAUUGAAGUUAAUUCGAUCUCGAUUUGACCAUGAACAUCUCUAUGAGAGCACGUCCAUUAA
This 346-nucleotide long non-coding RNA is filed under the name Carica papaya (papaya). Its description in RNAcentral is "long non-coding RNA (CPAP_LNC003960)". The record is from RNAcentral. Lineage: Eukaryota; Viridiplantae; Streptophyta; Magnoliopsida; Brassicales; Caricaceae.